RNAcentral lists this non-coding RNA (183 nucleotides) under Candidatus Symbiopectobacterium sp. PLON1. RNAcentral describes it as "6S / SsrS RNA". It matches the Rfam family "6S / SsrS RNA". Rfam says of the family: E. coli 6S RNA was the first non coding RNA to be sequenced, but its function was unknown until recently. It consists of 184 nucleotides that fold into an extended hairpin structure with a large single-stranded internal bulge. RNAcentral also lists the same sequence under 1 other name. Lineage: Bacteria; Pseudomonadati; Pseudomonadota; Gammaproteobacteria; Enterobacterales; Enterobacteriaceae. The record is from Rfam by way of RNAcentral.
AUUUCUCUGAGGUGUUUGUCUGCGUGUCAGUCCCCUGAGCCGAUAUUUCAAACCAACAGAAUGUAACGCUCCGCAGCCGGUGAGCAUGCUCGGUUCGUCCGAGAAGCCUUAAGGUUGCGACGGUAUGUUCACCUUGAACCAAGGGUUCAAGGUUACCACCUGCGGCGGCAUCUCGGAGAUCCC